This 899-nucleotide ribosomal RNA is filed under the name uncultured bacterium. RNAcentral describes it as "bacterial SSU rRNA". It matches the Rfam family "Bacterial small subunit ribosomal RNA", at positions 8 to 916 of the family's 1533-position model. The record is from RNAcentral.
AGAGUUUGAUCCUGGCUCAGGAUGAACGCUGGCGGCGUGCCUAAUACAUGCAAGUCGAACGAGGUGCUUGAGUAGCAAUACAAGAGUAUCCUAGUGGCGAACGGGUAAGUAACGCGUUGGUGACCUACCCCAAAGUGUGGGAUAACAGUCCGAAAGGAUUGCUAAUACCGCAUGUGGUUAUCGGAUCUAGAAACUGAUAACUAAAGGAGCAAUUCGCUUUGGGAGGGACCUGCGUCCCAUCAGCUAGUUGGUGAGGUAACGGCUCACCAAGGCUACGACGGGUAGGGGACCUGAGAGGGUGGCCCCCCACAAUGGAACUGAAACACGGUCCAUACACCUACGGGUGGCAGCAGUAGGGAAUAUUGCACAAUGGGCGAAAGCCUGAUGCAGCAACGCCGCGUGUGCGAUGAAGGCCUUCGGGUCGUAAAGCACUUUUCUGAGAGAUGAGAAAGGACAGUAUCUCAGGAAUAAGUCUCGGCUAACUACGUGCCAGCAGCCGCGGUAACACGUAGGAGGCGAGCGUUAUCCGGAUUCACUGGGCGUAAAGCGCGUGCAGGCGGUUUGGUAAGUUGAUCGUGAAAGCCCCCGGCUCAACUGGGAGAGGUCGUUCAAUACUACCAAACUAGAGAGUAGAAGAGGAAAAUGGAAUUCCCGGUGUAGUGGUGAAAUGCGUAGAUAUCGGGAGGAACACCAGUGGCGAAGGCGAUUUUCUGGUCUAUUUCUGACGCUCAGACGCGACAGCUAGGGUAGUAAACGGGAUUAGAGACCCCGGUAAUCCUAGCCGUAAACGAUGUGAACUUGGCGUCGGUGGCUUAAACACCAUCGGUGCCGAAGCAAACGCGAUAAGUUCACCGCCUGGGGACUACGGCCGCAAGGUUAAAACUCAAAGGAAUUGACGG